RNAcentral lists this ribosomal RNA (406 nucleotides) under uncultured bacterium. Its description in RNAcentral is "partial 16S ribosomal RNA". It matches the Rfam family "Bacterial small subunit ribosomal RNA", at positions 30 to 526 of the family's 1533-position model. The record is from RNAcentral.
AUUGAACGCUGGCGGCAUGCCUAACACAUGCAAGUCGAGCGAGCGGCGGACGGGUGAGUAAUGUCUGGGAAACUGCCUGAUGGAGGGGGAUAACUCCUGGAAACGGUGGCUAAUACCGCAUACCAUCAGAUGUGCCCAGAUGGGAUUAGCUAGUAGGUGGGGGAACGGCUCACAUAGGCGACGAUGCAUAGCUGAUCUGAGAGGAUGACCGGCCACACUGGAACUGAGACACGGUCCAGACUCCUACGGGAGGCAGCAGUAGGGAAUAUUGCGCAAUGGGCGAAAGCCUGACGGAGCCACGCCGCGUGAAUGAAGAAGGCCUUCGGGUCGUAAAGCUCUUUUAGUGGGGAGGCGUUACCCGAUGAGGAAGCACCGGCUAACUACGUGCCAGCAGCCGCGGUAAUUC